RNAcentral lists this ribosomal RNA (406 nucleotides) under uncultured bacterium. RNAcentral describes it as "partial 16S ribosomal RNA". It matches the Rfam family "Bacterial small subunit ribosomal RNA", at positions 28 to 526 of the family's 1533-position model. The record is from RNAcentral.
GACGAACGCUGGCGGCAUGCCUAAUACAUGCAAGUAGGACGAGUUGCGAACGGUUGAGUAACGCGUGGUAACCUACGUAUUAGAGGGGGAUAACUAUUGGAAACGAUAGCUAAUUCCGCAUACUUGUAGAUGGACCUGCGUUGUAUUAGCUAGUAGGUAGGGUAAUGGCCUACCUAGGCAACGAUACAUCGCCGAUCGGAGAGGGUGAUCGGCCACACUGGGACUGAGACACGGCCCAGACUCCUACGGGAGGCAGCAGUGGGGAAUAUUGCACAAUGGGCGCAAGCCUGAUGCAGCCAUGCCGCGUGUAUGAAGAAGGCCUUCGGGUUGUAAAGCACGUUCAGCGGGGAGGCGUUACCCGCAGAAGAAGCACCGGCUAACUCCGUGCCAGCAGCCGCGGUAAUAC